GCUCCAAUGGCGCAAUGGUAGCGCGCAAGACUUCUACUAACUAAAUCAGUUGUAAUCUUGAGGUUGAGGGUUCGAGCCCCUCUUGGAGUG
Pseudogymnoascus pannorum is the source of this 90-nucleotide transfer RNA. It matches the Rfam family "tRNA". From Rfam's summary of the family: Transfer RNA (tRNA) molecules are approximately 80 nucleotides in length. Their secondary structure includes four short double-helical elements and three loops (D, anti-codon, and T loops). The record is from Rfam. NCBI's taxonomy places the organism in Eukaryota, Fungi, Ascomycota, Leotiomycetes, Thelebolales, Thelebolaceae.